CCUUCUCAUAACUUUAAACAUAUACGAACAUAACGUAUAAACUGAGAUAUGUAAACACCAUAUGAAGGGACAGAGGAUAUGUUAUGGUUGGGAAAUAGGGGACUGAUAAUUUGGAAGUUUAAAUCGUCCCGUUUGUCAUAUAAUACGACACAGAAACAUUAAUAUUGCCAACAACAUCAAGUUUACAAUCAGGUUCUAUGGGGCCACGGAAAGUCAAUAUACAUACGUGGCAUCAAUCGGGUCACUUAUGCAAAGUAACCAUUCGAUAAUGAGUUGAAUUCGGUAAUGUUACAAACGUAAACAACAAACACUUGAUAAAUUUAAUGCAUACGAUGCGCUUUGUUGAAUUUGAUCUUCAAGGUCGCUCAUAGCUAAAUAUUUGGAUGUAUUUAUAUUAGAGGUGACAAUAAAUAAAUCAAUAUUGUAUUAUUAUUCAAAGGAAUAUUUUGUAGUUGUUAUUUAAUUUAAUGGUGAACGCGAGUGCAACUAAAUAUCUUAACAUCGCGCAAUUUUGCAUUAUUAUCGUCGACGUCUUGUUUAUGUCGGGUACAAAAAGGAGUUCCGUUUAUGACAUUGAUAAAAAAAACAAUAACUUCAAGAGCUACUAAAUAUAAUGGUAACCUCGCCCAAUUAUGUUAACGUAUUCAUUAAUAUGCAAAUCGUACAAGAAUUAUCUCUUCAGAUAUGUCAGUAUGAGUAUUAUAAGUAUAGUGUAGUUUUGCACUGUUCAAAUUCCAUGAAAUCGAUUAAGAAGACAAAUCAAAGUCAAUGUCGCAAAAUUUUGACCACCAACUAAGCUUGCUAUUGAAAAGAAGAAUGCGAUUUCUCGCUAAUGUGUAUAUCGAUAACCAAAAACUAUUUGCGAAAAAUAAAACAAACAUGCACCACAUUAUGACUAUGAAGAGAUCAUGAUUUAAAACAUUUGCAUUAUACAAGUAUCAGAAAAAAA
Molecule: long non-coding RNA, 949 nt
Filed under: Mytilus galloprovincialis (Mediterranean mussel)
Lineage: Eukaryota; Metazoa; Mollusca; Bivalvia; Mytilida; Mytilidae
Source: RNAcentral